CUCUCUCACUCUCUCUCUCUCUCGCUGUCUCUCUCUCUCGCUGUCUCUCUCUCUCUCUCGCUGUCUCUCUCUCUCUCUCUCUCUCUCUCUCUCUCUCUCUCUCGCUGUCUCUCUCUCUCUCUCUCGCUGUCUCUCUCUCUCUCUCUCUCUCGGUCUCUCUCUCUCUCUCUCUCUCUCUCUCUCUCUCUCUCGCGGUCUCUCUUUCUCUCUCUCUCUCGCAGUCUUUCUCUCUCUCUCGCAGUCUUUCUCUCUCUCUCACAGUCUCUCUCUCUCGCAGUCUCUCUCUCUCUCUCUCUUGCAGUCUCUCUCUCUCUCUCUCUUGCAGUCUCUCUCUCUCUCUCACAGUCUCUCUCUCUCGCAGUCUCUCUCUCCCUCUCUCUUGCAGUCUCUCUCUCGCAGUCUCUCUCUCUCUCUCUUGCAGUCUCUCUCUCUCUCAGUCUCUCUCUCUCGCGGUCUCUCUCUCUCUCGCAGUCUCUCUCUC
Molecule: long non-coding RNA, 481 nt
Organism: Oncorhynchus tshawytscha (Chinook salmon)
Lineage: Eukaryota; Metazoa; Chordata; Actinopteri; Salmoniformes; Salmonidae
Source: Ensembl